AGGCAGGAAGAAUGCUUAAGAGUACGAGGUUAGCAGGGCGUGGUGGCAAACGCCUUUAAUCCCAGCACUUGGGAGGCAGAGGCAGGUGGAUUUCUGAUUUCGAGGUCAGCCUGGUCUACUGAGUGAUUCCAGGCCAGCUGGUUCCAGGCCAGGCCAUACAAAGAAACUUUGCCUUGAAAAACAAAAACAACCCCCACAAACAACAACAAAGUACAAAUAUGGCAACCCAUGCCAGUAAUCCCAGUACUCAGGAGGCUGAGGCAGGAGGACUGCCCUGAGUUCUAGAACAGCCUGAGCUACAGAAAUCGUUUCAACAAAUAAAUAAAUAAAUAAAUAAAAAAGAAAGAAAGAACUCAAAAUAUUACCAAUCUAAACUAGUAACAUUUUUCUUUCAAUUGACUCGAUGAAAGCCAGUGCUAUUCCCACUAAAAGGAACCCUUCUAACAGACUCAGUAUGUUAGGAAGAAACAGGCCUGGGGUAGUAGCAGCUUCAAAGGAAACAUUACCAGGUGACACUUGAAGAACAUUCAGAAGCUUUUCUCUAGAAUUACUGUAGUGUAAUUACUCUAAUUUGAAAAUUAUUGAUGGUACCAAAUUGUCUCUGUCGGUAAGGGCAAAGAGAAAUACACAGUGCUAUAAGGCAAGUCAGACUCCGCAAGGUUACCU
Molecule: long non-coding RNA, 666 nt
Filed under: Mus spretus (western wild mouse)
Lineage: Eukaryota; Metazoa; Chordata; Mammalia; Rodentia; Muridae
Description: predicted gene, 37362 (ENSMSPG00010045523.1)
Source: RNAcentral